Long non-coding RNA from Nannospalax galili (Upper Galilee mountains blind mole rat), 1145 nucleotides. RefSeq lists it as uncharacterized. The record is from RefSeq and is a predicted model, not a curated record. The transcript is spliced from 4 exons. NCBI's taxonomy places the organism in Eukaryota, Metazoa, Chordata, Mammalia, Rodentia, Spalacidae.
AGGGAAGAAAAAUUAAAAAGAUGACAGGGCAGGAUCCAGAAAGAACAGACCUGGCAUCUGUCUGUCAUCUCUUGCUUGGGAAUCCCAGAGGCCAGCUCUGUCAUAGUCUCAGUGCAUUUGAGGCACAGCCUGUAUUUCUACCAAGUCCCCACCAGGAGGGUUAGCCCUAGAAAGAGCAGUGUCAGCUCCGGCCCCUCCACCAUGUGGGCAAAGUCGACGGAGCCCCUCCUACUAGAGGACUUUGGUCCCAGCUUGAGACCAGCUCAGACAAGAGGACGGCCAGGGACAGUAAGCAGCCCCACCAGAGGGCAACUGGACCCUCAGUUUGAAGGGAGACAGGGCAGGUGAGCCUGCUCCUGCUGGGAGAGCCAACAGUGCCCAGUGAGAUGGGUGAAGCAGAGGUUGUUGGUCAGCAGAAUCACAGAUUCUCCAAAACUUUGCUGUUGAACGUCAGAUCGGAAUCCUUUGAUGUCAGUGUACAGAGAAAUGGCACUUUGGAGCAGGACACAGUGGCACCUGUCUGUCAUCGCAGCACUCUGGAUGCUGAGGCAAGAGAUCUGAUGUAAGUUUGAGGGCAGCCUGAGUUACAGAUGUGAGACAGACUCUGGAAACAAAACAAAAAUAAGACAGGAAAGGGGUGAGGGAUGGAUGUAGGACACACAAGGAGAUAACAUGCCUUCUUUGUUACUCUGAGAUAACAGCAAACAGUUCACCCUGUCCCCUUCCACUCUUCUUACUCAAUAGUAAGCCCAGGAAAUUUGCACACACCCACUCAUCAGGAGCCUCAAGUCAGUGCAGCCUAGUUGUGCCAGUCACAUCCCUCCAUCCACAGCACCUAGCUAAUUCCAGUCUAUCAGAAUCCUUCUGUCAGCACAACUGAUUGAGACAGGGCCGGUAUCACUCUGCACUCUAGGCUAGCCUGGAAUUCAUUAUGAAGCCCAAUGUGACUUCAAACUCUUAACCCUCCUGCCUCUUCCUCCAAAAUAGAGGGUCACCUGGCCCAGCUGCACCCUACAAUCCAAACCUGUGGCAGUGACCUCCCACAUUGAACCCCCUGGUAAUUAUUCUCCAAGGCUUUUCAUGAUCGUUUGUGUGCUGGAUAGCUUUAGUGUCAACUUGACACACCUGGGUUAAGGGAGCCUCAA